CAGCAGCCGCGGGAAUACGUAGGUGGCAAGCGUUGUCCGGAAUUAUUGGGCGUAAAGCGCGCGCAGGGGGAUAGGUCAGUCUGUCUUAAAAGUUCGGGGCUUAACCCCGUGAUGGGAUGGAAACUGCCAAUCUAGAGUAUCGGAGAGGAAAGUGGAAUUCCUAGUGUAGCGGUGAAAUGCGUAGAUAUUAGGAAGAACACCAGUGGCGAAGGCGACUUUCUGGACGAAAACUGACGCUGAGGCGCGAAAGCCAGGGGAGCGAACGGGAUUAGAUACCCCCGUAGUCCCUGUCUCUUAUACA
This 301-nucleotide ribosomal RNA is filed under the name uncultured bacterium. RNAcentral's name for it is "partial 16S ribosomal RNA". It matches the Rfam family "Bacterial small subunit ribosomal RNA", at positions 509 to 809 of the family's 1533-position model. The record is from RNAcentral.